GUCUAGUAUAAGCAUUAUACCGCGAAACUGCGAAUGGCUCAUUAUAUAAGUUAUCGUUUAUUUGAUAGUACCUUACUACUUGGAUAACCGUGGUAAUUCUAGAGCUAAUACAUGCUAAAAAUCCCGACUUCGGAAGGGAUGUAUUUAUUAGAUUAAAAACCAAUGCCCUUCGGGGCUCACUGGUGAUUCAUGAUAACUCCUCGAAUCGCAUGGCCUUGUGCCGGCGAUGGUUCAUUCAAAUUUCUUCCCUAUCAACUUUCGAUGUUUGGGUAUUGGCCAAACAUGGUUGCAACGGGUAACGGAGGGUUAGGGCUCGACCCCGGAGAAGGAGCCUGAGAAACGGCUACUACAUCCAAGGAAGGCAGCAGGCGCGCAAAUUACCCAAUCCCGACACGGGGAGGUAGUGACAAUAAAUACUGAUACAGGGCUCUUUUGGGUCUUGUAAUUGGAAUGAGUACAAUUUAAAUCCCUUAACGAGGAACAAUUGGAGGGCAAGUCUGGUGCCAGCAGCCGCGGUAAUUCCAGCUCCAAUAGCGUAUAUUAAAGUUGUUGUGGUUAAAAAGCUCGUAGUUGAACCUUGGGCCUGGCUGGCCGGUCCGCCUCACCGCGUGUACUGGUCCGGCCGGGCCUUUCCCUCUGUGGAACCCCAUGCCCUUCACUGGGUGUGGCGGGGAAACAGGACUUUUACUGUGAAAAAAUUACAGUGCUCCAGGCAGGCCUAUGCUCGAAUACAUUAGCAUGGAAUAAUAGAAUAGGACGUGUGGUUCUAUUUUGUUGGUUUCUAGGACCGCCGUAAUGAUUAAUAGGGACAGUCGGGGGCAUCAGUAUUCAAUUGUCAGAGGUGAAAUUCUUGGAUUUAUUGAAGACUAACUACUGCGAAAGCAUUUGCCAAGGAUGUUUUCAUUAAUCAGGAACGAAAGUUAGGGGAUCGAAGACGAUCAGAUACCGUCGUAGUCUUAACCAUAAACUAUGCCGACUAGGGAUCGGACGGUGUUAUUUUUUGACCCGUUCGGCACCUUACGAGAAAUCAAAGUGCUUGGGCUCCAGGGGGGAGUAUGGUCGCAAGGCUGAAACUUAAGGAAUUG
RNAcentral lists this ribosomal RNA (1085 nucleotides) under Fusarium oxysporum f. sp. ciceris. RNAcentral's name for it is "SSU rRNA". It matches the Rfam family "Eukaryotic small subunit ribosomal RNA", at positions 57 to 1155 of the family's 1831-position model. Lineage: Eukaryota; Fungi; Ascomycota; Sordariomycetes; Hypocreales; Nectriaceae. The record is from RNAcentral.